Molecule: ribosomal RNA, 1343 nt
Filed under: uncultured bacterium
Lineage: Bacteria
Description: 16S ribosomal RNA
Rfam family: Bacterial small subunit ribosomal RNA
Source: RNAcentral
GACGAACGCUGGCGGCGUGCUUAACACAUGCAAGUCGAACGGAAAGGCCCUGCUUUUGUGGGGUGCUCGAGUGGCGAACGGGUGAGUAACACGUGAGUAACCUGCCCUUGACUUCGGGAUAACUUCAGGAAACUGGGGCUAAUACCGGAUAGGAGCUCCUGCUGCAUGGUGGGGGUUGGAAAGUUUCGGCGGUUGGGGAUGGACUCGCGGCUUAUCAGCUUGUUGGUGGGGUAGUGGCUUACCAAGGCUUUGACGGGUAGCCGGCCUGAGAGGGUGACCGGCCACAUUGGGACUGAGAUACGGCCCAGACUCCUACGGGAGGCAGCAGUGGGGAAUAUUGCACAAUGGGCGGAAGCCUGAUGCAGCAACGCCGCGUGCGGGAUGACGGCCUUCGGGUUGUAAACCGCUUUCGCCUGUGACGAAGCGUGAGUGACGGUAAUGGGUAAAGAAGCACCGGCUAACUACGUGCCAGCAGCCGCGGUGAUACGUAGGGUGCGAGCGUUGUCCGGAUUUAUUGGGCGUAAAGGGCUCGCAGGUGGUUGAUCGCGUCGGAAGUGUAAUCUUGGGGCUUAACCCUGAGCGUGCUUUCGAUACGGGUUGACUUGAGGAAGGUAGGGGAGAAUGGAAUUCCUGGUGGAGCGGUGGAAUGCGCAGAUAUCAGGAGGAACACCAGUGGCGAAGGCGGUUCUCUGGGCCUUUCCUGACGCUGAGGAGCGAAAGCGUGGGGAGCGAACAGGCUUAGAUACCCUGGUAGUCCACGCUGUAAACGGUGGGUACUAGGUGUGGGGUCCAUUCCACGGGUUCCGUGCCGUAGCUAACGCUUUAAGUACCCCGCCUGGGGAGUACGGCCCCAAGGCUAAAACUCAAAGGAAUUGACGGGGCCCCGCACAAGCGGCGGAGCAUGCGGAUUAAUUCGAUGCAACGCGUAGAACCUUACCUGGGUUUGACAUGGAUCGGGAGUGCUCAGAGAUGGGUGUGCCUCUUUUGGGGUCGGUUCACAGGUGGUGCAUGGCUGUCGUCAGCUCGUGUCGUGAGAUGUUGGGUUAAGUCCCGCAACGAGCGCAACCCUUGUUCACUGUUGCCAGCACGUUAUGGUGGGGACUCAGUGGAGACCGCCGGGGUCAACUCGGAGGAAGGUAGGGAUGACGUCAAGUCAUCAUGCCCCUUAUGUCCAGGGCUUCACGCAUGCUACAAUGGCUGGUACAGAGAGUGGCGAGCCUGUGAGGGUGAGCGAAUCUCGGAAAGCCGGUCUCAGUUCGGAUUGGGGUCUGCAACUCGACCUCAUGAAGUCGGAGUCGCUAGUAAUCGCAGAUCAGCAACGCUGCGGUGAAUACGUUCCCGGG